Molecule: unclassified non-coding RNA, 311 nt
Filed under: fungal sp.
Lineage: Eukaryota; Fungi
Description: partial internal transcribed spacer region
Rfam family: Eukaryotic small subunit ribosomal RNA (bases 1-49)
Source: RNAcentral
AAGUCGUAACAAGGUUUCCGUAGGUGAACAACCUGCGGAAGGAUCAUUAACACGUAUCCAACGUUAAACCCCCCUGUGAACCUUCAUUGUGCUCCCCCAUUCCGUUAGGACGCGGCAAUCCCUGGUAAAUCAUCGCCGAACAGUUUUGAUUCAGGGGCGGAAUGGCGCAGUAACGAUCGCUAGAGGCCGACACGGCCGGCGACCGGGUCACUGGGCUCACGCCCCCCUCACCUUUUUUCAUGCAAACGGGCCUGCGCUUAAUUGUGGCCACCAAACUCGAACAACUGUUAACAAUGGAUAUCUUGGUUCUC